RNAcentral lists this transfer RNA (71 nucleotides) under Nannocystis sp. RNAcentral's name for it is "tRNA-Gln". It matches the Rfam family "tRNA". Rfam says of the family: Transfer RNA (tRNA) molecules are approximately 80 nucleotides in length. Their secondary structure includes four short double-helical elements and three loops (D, anti-codon, and T loops). Lineage: Bacteria; Pseudomonadati; Myxococcota; Nannocystales; Nannocystaceae. The record is from RNAcentral.
UCGGGGAUCAUCUAAUGGUAGGAUAGCGGAUUCUGAUUCCGCUUAUCAAGGUUCGAAUCCUUGUCCCCGAA